Molecule: long non-coding RNA, 570 nt
Organism: Prunus dulcis (almond)
Lineage: Eukaryota; Viridiplantae; Streptophyta; Magnoliopsida; Rosales; Rosaceae
Exons: 3
Source: RefSeq, a predicted model, not a curated record
GCCCACAUCAACAAACUCGUUUCUCACGGCGGUGUUCUGAUGACAGAAAUUCAUUCUCUUUCUUUCUGCGCGCAGCCCGACCCGACCAGGCCAUCAUAUUCAAAACUGACGACGACGUCGGUCGACUUUUUUCUCUUUGCCUUUGUGUCUGUCUAGUCUAGGGUUUCAAACAAAAAACCAACCACCACAACACUAGCCACCCAGGAUGAAUAAUAGCAACGUCAACGGCGCUGCAAAGCAGCGAGACAAAUACAUCGUUGUAUUUGAGAAAGACGAUGAAGACAUCAUAUGAUACCAGAAGAAAAAUUCUUGUCCUUCCGUAGGCCCUUCUGUAGAUCCGAUGCAACAUAUGUGCAAGAAUCUUGGCCCGCGUUCGAAUCCGCUUUAAAAGAGUAUGGCAUUGCAUGUGCACUGAAUCGGUCAGAAAUGGUGUUUACAAGAUAAGACAUCUUCAUUUACUUCUGUCAGUCAGAGUUCCUAUUCAUCAGGCACUAAGGAUACUGAAAGGUCCAUAUGACAUCAUCCGCACAGGGCAUCAUGUUAAUGGGAUUUGCACAAAAUACAGGAUCA